Lactuca sativa (garden lettuce) is the source of this 1606-nucleotide RNA transcript. It is a transcript of the gene named heat shock transcription factor A2, with no coding region annotated. The record is from RefSeq and is a predicted model, not a curated record. Lineage: Eukaryota; Viridiplantae; Streptophyta; Magnoliopsida; Asterales; Asteraceae.
AACACCCGUUUCAAGCUGAAUAAGACAUUCAUCAUCGACAAGACGUUAAUCGAAGAGAUUUCAUUGACAAUGGACUUGAAAACUGAAUUGCAAGGAGGAGUGAGUGUGAAAGUAGAGGAGGUUACAUUUAUAUCGUCUACGAACACCGCCGCAACCGCUGGUUCAUCGUCUUCAUCUUCUUCGCCGCGGCCGAGGGAAGGGUUGCAUGAGGUAGGUCCUCCGCCGUUCCUGACGAAAACUUUCGACAUGGUGGAAGAUCCAUCAACUGAUUCGGUGGUUUCGUGGAGUAGAGGAAGGAAUAGUUUUGUUGUUUGGGAUUCUCAUAAGUUUUCCACUACUCUGCUUCCGAGGUAUUUUAAGCAUGGGAAUUUUUCUAGCUUUAUCCGUCAGCUCAAUACUUAUGGAUUUAGAAAAGUGGAUCCAGACAGGUGGGAAUUUGCAAAUGAAGGGUUUCUCGGAGGUCAAAGGCAACUUCUAAAAACAAUCAGAAGAAGAAGAAACAUAUCCCAAUCCACUCAACAAAAGCAUGAUUUUGGCCCAUGUAUCGAAGUAGGUCAAUACGGAAUCGAGGAAGAACUCGAAGGACUCAAAAGAGACAGAAGCUUAUUAAUGGCAGAAAUCGUACGUCUAAGGCAACUUCAACAACAUUCAAAAGACCAACUCAUAGCCAUGGAAAACAGAUUAAGAUCCACCGAAAGAAAACAACACAACAUGAUGGGAUUUCUCGCAAAAGCAUUUUCAAAUCCCGAAUUCCUUCAAAAAUACAUGGCUAAAUACGCACACAGGGAACAAGAACACAUUGAAAUUGGUCGUAAAAGAAGGUUAACAAUGGUGCCAAGCUUUGAGAAUCUACAAGAAGUUGAUGAUGGUCUGGAUUCAUUUCUUGCGACCCCUGUUGAAGAUGAAUCAAGCAGCGAUGUGGGAAAUCAAGAUGUUUCAAGCUUAUUGGAAGAUGAUUCGAAUUUAUGGGAAGAACUAUUGAAGAUUGAAAAACACCCUGAAGAUGUUCUUGAUGAUUUAGAUGGUCAACAGCUUGAAUGGGAUGAGGAUUUGCAAGAAUUAGUGGAUCAAAUGGAGUAUUUAAGGUCAUCCAGUGCUUAAAUUAUUGAGAUUUUAUUGUUUGUGGCCUUGUGGGUGUCUGCAAGUCCACGUCUUCUUUAGUACAAGUCAGAGAUGCAUAUGGAUAUGAUUCAUUAGUAUCUCUGUGCUGAAGAGAUUGUGGAUUUGCAAGGAGGCCAAAGCUGCUGGUUUCUUGUAUCCUUUUGUCGUUUUUAUAUUCUAUUUACUGGCAUUUCUUUUUUAUUUUCUUAUUUUGGGACAAAAAAGCCCUUGAUUUAUUACCUCUGUUUCUUGCAGGGGCCAAAGAAACAAGAAACAGAAGUUGGAGGGGUAAUAUUAGAGCUGAAAGAGAAGUUGGAGGGGUCAACUUUUUUUCUUUUGACAGUCUUGAAGUUUUUGUCCCAUAUUUUUACCACGUAAAAAUGUUGUAAUUUUUGUUUUGUUCAUAUAAUAGAAUGUUAUUUUUUUAUGAUGAGGGUUUUAGAGGUAUAGUGGUGUGUAUAAAUUUUAGAUGGAAUGGAAGUUUUUUUAUUUGUUGUUCUAUUAA